AGUGUCAAGGGAUAGGAAUCGAACCCACGAGCUUCCGCUUACCGGGCAGAUGCCAUGACCACUAGGCCACAUGACC
RNAcentral lists this transfer RNA (76 nucleotides) under Cordylochernes scorpioides. Its description in RNAcentral is "tRNA-Thr". Lineage: Eukaryota; Metazoa; Arthropoda; Arachnida; Pseudoscorpiones; Chernetidae. The record is from RNAcentral.